UACGGAGGAUCCAAGCGUUAUCCGGAUUUAUUGGGUUUAAAGGGUGCGUAGGCGGCUUUUUAAGUCAGGGGUGAAAGACGUUAGCUCAACUAACGCAGUGCCCUUGAUACUGAAGAGCUUGAAUGGACUAGAGGUAGGCGGAAUGUGACAAGUAGCGGUGAAAUGCAUAGAUAUGUCACAGAACACCGAUUGCGAAGGCA
Molecule: ribosomal RNA, 200 nt
Filed under: uncultured bacterium
Lineage: Bacteria
Description: partial 16S ribosomal RNA
Rfam family: Bacterial small subunit ribosomal RNA
Source: RNAcentral